This is a long non-coding RNA of Polyodon spathula (Mississippi paddlefish), 1263 nucleotides long. RefSeq lists it as uncharacterized. The record is from RefSeq and is a predicted model, not a curated record. NCBI's taxonomy places the organism in Eukaryota, Metazoa, Chordata, Actinopteri, Acipenseriformes, Polyodontidae. The transcript is spliced from 5 exons.
CAGCGAGACAGGAGGAGAAAUUCACUUGUGGAAGAAACUAUUACUAUUGCUUAUGCCCAGGCAGCAGACAUCAGAUCUGCAGAAGCGUAUGACAUGCUUGGAGGACGGUGAUGACAGAAGUGUACACCACUGGAAUAGGUGGCAGCUCUAGAGGAUACACUGAGAAGUGAAGGAAUUAGGAAACAACUGAUAAGUCAAACUAAAUGAAAUAAAUAAGGUUUCAAAGCUGUCCACAGCAGGUGGCUCAUCGGUGUGACAAAACGUAACGAGUUAUGGACAGGUUGAUGACAAAUGAGCUGAUAUCCAAGUUCAACAUGAAGGGGAAGAGAGAAAAGAAGGCCUUUGAAGGGACCUCUGUGUGCCAAAUUGUAAUUGCUUGAAAGUUCCUUCCAUUCUUCCAUUUACAACGUUAGUCCGACCAACAUACAACAUCAGAAUGGGACGUCAACACAACAUCACCGCAACCAACCUUGCCCACUGGGAACAGUCUUUUAGCCAUGGCAAGAAAAGAGCAUUUUUGUGAAAAAGUUACAAAGCUAAAAUUUUGGUUUCCCCCUUGAUAACGUUGAACAGUCUUUGAAAAAAAAACAAAAAAACAAUCAGAAUUGUAUGUCCUUGUAAACCACCAGACCAUGGAAAUGGGUAUCAGAUGCCUGGGGCUGAAAACGGAAUGCCAUAAGGAGGCUUGAUCUGUUCCACAUCAUUGCUGUGGCACUGCAAAAGGUAUGUGGAACUCUUCCUUGGAGAGGAAGAGGAGUCACCUAGCACUUGAUUUUUUUUUUUCCUAUUUCUGAAGUUACCAGGUCUUAAAGUCACAAAGAUGUAUUUGUAGCACAUUCUGGAAAGAAGGUGGUGCUUAUGAAACUAAAUCAAGUCUUUAUAACUCAACCACAUCAGUCCCUGACGUUAUAUUGUAUGCUGUGGCUUGAGGUUCUCCAAUGUCAUUUCAGGAAUAUUCAAAUUAAAAAUCAGUGGGGAUCUUAAUACUAUCAACUACAAAUGUAUUCACCUGCUCUAUCUACUGUACUUGUAUUGUGUUAAGUGAUGUAAAAAACAAAACAAAUAAACCCUGCCUGUCGAUGUUACAUACUUUUAUAAUGCUUAUUUGUUUAUAAUGUGGAUCUGCAUCAGCCAUGCGAAACUCACCCGUCUACUGAUUAAAGGGUGACAUCCUAAUUGUGUGAUUUAAGAGUUUAACCGGCUUUCAAUUGAAAGGUACCUUUUCAGUGUGACCUUAAAGGAAAAUUAUUUGGAGCUGCUGUA